GCACUGCUGAGGAGUCCCAAACUAGGACGAUACGGCCGUCCAGUGC
This 46-nucleotide non-coding RNA is filed under the name Schistosoma margrebowiei. Lineage: Eukaryota; Metazoa; Platyhelminthes; Trematoda; Strigeidida; Schistosomatidae. The record is from RNAcentral.